UACGUAGGGCGCAAGCGUUGUCCGGAAUUAUUGGGCGUAAAGAGCUCGUAGGCGGUUUGUCGCGUCUGCUGUGAAAACCUAAGGCUCAACCUUGGGCUUGCAGUGGGUACGGGCAGACUAGAGUGCGGUAGGGGUGACUGGAAUUCCUGGUGUAGCGGUGGAAUGCGCAGAUAUCAGGAGGAACACCAAUGGCGAAGGCAGAUCUCUGGGCCGUAACUGACGCUGAGGAGCGAAAGCAUGGGGAGCGAACAGG
RNAcentral lists this ribosomal RNA (253 nucleotides) under uncultured bacterium. RNAcentral describes it as "partial 16S ribosomal RNA". It matches the Rfam family "Bacterial small subunit ribosomal RNA", at positions 524 to 776 of the family's 1533-position model. The record is from RNAcentral.